UUUUUAAAGCAAAAUCUUCAGUAAGUGUCAAACUUGGCUACUAUAAUGACAUCAGCACCACUAAAGGCCCAACAGAAGAGCAACAAAUCACACCAGAGGAUUAUGAUGAUGCAAUCACUGCUGGUUGGAGACAUUGUGCUAAAGAUGACUUACCAGAAAACUAUGAUGA
This is a long non-coding RNA of Sinocyclocheilus rhinocerous, 169 nucleotides long. RefSeq lists it as uncharacterized. The record is from RefSeq and is a predicted model, not a curated record. The transcript has 3 exons. Lineage: Eukaryota; Metazoa; Chordata; Actinopteri; Cypriniformes; Cyprinidae.